UGCCACAGCCAUGUCACCCUGCAGCCCAAGACCGGUUAUUCACUGAAGCUAAGCAGGGCUGAGCCUGGUCAGUUCCUGGAUGGGAGACCACAUGGGAAAACUAGGUUGCUGUGGAAG
Molecule: ribosomal RNA, 117 nt
Filed under: Danio rerio (zebrafish)
Lineage: Eukaryota; Metazoa; Chordata; Actinopteri; Cypriniformes; Danionidae
Source: RNAcentral